RNAcentral lists this long non-coding RNA (232 nucleotides) under Manihot esculenta (cassava). RNAcentral's name for it is "long non-coding RNA (MESC_LNC009625)". The record is from RNAcentral. Lineage: Eukaryota; Viridiplantae; Streptophyta; Magnoliopsida; Malpighiales; Euphorbiaceae.
AGAGAGUAUAGCAGGCUUGCUACGGGUUCUGGCGGCCUUAAGCCGACCUGAAUCCUAGCGCCGGUGACGGUCCAUUUUGGGGUCGUUAUAGAUUGGUAUCAGAGCCCUCGGUUCACAUGAUCGGACCUAUAGAGACAAUGUCGGGCUCAUAGAGGUUAAAAGUGGUCAAGCACAAUAGGAAAUCAUGUCCACUAGGAUAGGGUUUUGAGUCCUAUCUGCUUGAUAUGCCAUG